Molecule: ribosomal RNA, 117 nt
Filed under: Bacillota bacterium
Lineage: Bacteria; Bacillati; Bacillota
Source: RNAcentral
UCCAGUGACUAUAGCAAGAGGGCUACACCUGUUCCCAUACCGAACACAGAAGUUAAGCCUCUUAGCGCCGAUGGUACUUGGCGGGCAGCUGCCUGGGAGAGUAGGUCGUUGCUGGUU